This 77-nucleotide transfer RNA is filed under the name Bacteroidota bacterium. RNAcentral describes it as "Bacteroidetes bacterium (marine metagenome) tRNA-Asp". It matches the Rfam family "tRNA". Rfam says of the family: Transfer RNA (tRNA) molecules are approximately 80 nucleotides in length. Their secondary structure includes four short double-helical elements and three loops (D, anti-codon, and T loops). The record is from RNAcentral. Lineage: Bacteria; Pseudomonadati; Bacteroidota.
AGUGUCGCAGCAUAUCGGCGUAUGGCGUCUCGUUGUCAGCGAGGAGAUUGCGGGUUCAAAUCCCGUCGGCACUGCAA